This 364-nucleotide ribosomal RNA is filed under the name Streptomyces albidochromogenes. RNAcentral's name for it is "bacterial SSU rRNA". It matches the Rfam family "Bacterial small subunit ribosomal RNA", at positions 90 to 446 of the family's 1533-position model. The record is from RNAcentral. Lineage: Bacteria; Bacillati; Actinomycetota; Actinomycetes; Kitasatosporales; Streptomycetaceae.
GAUUAGUGGCGAACGGGUGAGUAACACGUGGGCAAUCUGCCCUUCACUCUGGGACAAGCCCUGGAAACGGGGUCUAAUACCGGAUAACACUUCUUCGGGCAUCUGAAGAGGUUAAAAGCUCCGGCGGUGAAGGAUGAGCCCGCGGCCUAUCAGCUUGUUGGUGGGGUAAUGGCCUACCAAGGCGACGACGGGUAGCCGGCCUGAGAGGGCGACCGGCCACACUGGGACUGAGACACGGCCCAGACUCCUACGGGGAGGCAGCAGUGGGAGAAUAUUGCACAAUGGGGCGAAAAGCCUGAUGCAGCGACCCCCCCGUGAGGGGAUGACGGCCUUCCGGGUUGUAAACCCUCUUCUCACCAGGGAA